UAAAAAAGGAUGAAAUUUAUC
Molecule: non-coding RNA, 21 nt
Filed under: Caenorhabditis elegans
Lineage: Eukaryota; Metazoa; Nematoda; Chromadorea; Rhabditida; Rhabditidae
Source: RNAcentral